This 497-nucleotide ribosomal RNA is filed under the name uncultured bacterium. RNAcentral describes it as "partial 16S ribosomal RNA". It matches the Rfam family "Bacterial small subunit ribosomal RNA", at positions 28 to 507 of the family's 1533-position model. The record is from RNAcentral.
GAUGAACGCUGGCGGCGUGCCUAAUACAUGCAAGUCGAGCGAACAGACGAGGAGUUUGCCUCUCUGACGUUAGCGGCGGACGUGAGAGUCACGUGUGUAUAAUCUACCUAUGAGACUGGGAACACUUCGGAAAGAUGGAUCUAACACCGGAAAAGAAAUUGAACCGUAUGGUUUACUAAUAAAAUACAAUUUUACUGCUACCUAUUGGACCUUCCGUGCCUCAUUAACUAGUUGGUAAGGUAACGGCUUACAAAGGCAACGAUUCGUAGCCGACCUGAGAGGGUGAUGGGCCACACGGGAACUGAGACACGGUCCAGACUCCUACGGGAGGCAGCAGUAGGAAAUCUUCCGCAUUGGGGGAAAGCCUAACGGAGCAACGCGGCUUGGGUGAUGAAGGUCUUGGGAUCGAAAGACUCUGUUAUUGGGGAAGAACAAAUGUGUAAGUAACUAUGCACGUCUUGACGGUACCUAAUCAGAAAGCCACGGCUAACUACGUG